Molecule: long non-coding RNA, 1045 nt
Organism: Hirundo rustica (Barn swallow)
Lineage: Eukaryota; Metazoa; Chordata; Aves; Passeriformes; Hirundinidae
Exons: 3
Source: RefSeq, a predicted model, not a curated record
CCAGUAGGUAAUCAUUUCCAGCUGUGCCAUUGUAAUAGCUUUGAGACCCUUCUCCUGGGAAAAAAAGAGACUUCAGUGUCUGGAAUUACUGAAGCAUUUGGCAAGUCUCUUCUCGUAUCUGCAAAUAAAAUCUGUCACAGAGAAGAAUUGAAGAUAUUUCCAAAGCGCUUGGAAAGGUUAAACAAAAGGCUAUGUGGUGUUUGGUCUUUGACUUGAAAGGACAAGACGUAUCUCCCCUCUUCAGUGAAAUGCCUGCAAUUUCUAUGGCUUCUGUUACACCUGCUGAAGUCUUCCCUUGUUGUCUCCCUAUUCUAAUAAGUUCUUGAGAAAAUCAGAUGUUGAUGAGACUUGCCUGCAACAGACAGAGUUCAACUUUCUAGGAACCUCUCAAAAUAAAUAAAAACUUCUUUUGUAUAAUCUGAAACAUAAGCCCAAAACAACUUGCCCAGAUCACAGACCUUUUGUUUAAAGUACAUCAGAACUUUGCAACAGUAAAAUACCAGAAAUGGCAACUAAGAUGAAAUAUGGAUAUCUGUGUGUCCUUGUUCCUUUGUGCCUGUGGGUCUUUUUUCCAAUCAAUAAAAAUGUAAAUGAUAAAAAAAGUAUGUGUUAGAUUGGAGAAAUGUGGAGGGUUUAAACAGUUAAAGAAGAAUUACAAGAACAUUUUAAGAUUCUGUCAGUUUUCCUGGCUGAAAAGGAAUUCCAAAUCAACACAGCUAUUUUGGCUUACUUUUUGUAACCUUAAACCUUUUUGAGAAGUGCCAGUAUUCUCUCUUUAACAUAACAUGUCCGUGCAUGACAACCUGGAGAAUUGUACAUGGAAAAUGAGAGAGAAGGCACAGAGAGGAAGGAAGGAAGGAAGGAAGAAAGAAAGUUCUACCAAAACAAAAUUGUAAACUUUACUGUUUAGUGGUCUGUUUUGCAUCUACUGAAAUUUUUUUAACUCAUUUGAGGCUACCACAGGUAUGAAUUGACACAAUGUAAAACCCCAGUGGGGAAGACACUUUUGGGAUUGUUUUUUGAUAAACAAAGAAACUUGAAAACU